This is a non-coding RNA of Mycena polygramma, 94 nucleotides long. The record is from the annotation of a GenBank genome assembly. Lineage: Eukaryota; Fungi; Basidiomycota; Agaricomycetes; Agaricales; Mycenaceae.
GGCCUGAUAGCAUAACGGUUAAUGCGCUUGCUUCAAGUGGCUCAGCCAUUUGGUAAUUAAGCAGGAGUUCCUCGUUCAAUUCGGGGUCAGGUUA